Molecule: unclassified non-coding RNA, 223 nt
Filed under: uncultured Actinomycetes bacterium
Lineage: Bacteria; Bacillati; Actinomycetota; Actinomycetes
Description: uncultured actinobacterium contains 16S-23S intergenic spacer region
Source: RNAcentral
UCCGGUUUGGCACCGGCAGUCUCCCAUGAGUCCCCGACAUUACUCGCUGGCAACAUGGGACAGGGGUUGCGCUCGUUGCGCCACUUAAGGCAACACCUCACGGCACGAGCUGACGACAGCCAUGCACCACCUGUGCGGGCUCCCGAAGGAGCACCGUGUUUCCACGGUUUCACCCCGCAUGUCAAGCCCUGGUAAGGUGGGGAUGACGUGGCCUUCCAUCACA